Molecule: ribosomal RNA, 438 nt
Filed under: uncultured bacterium
Lineage: Bacteria
Description: bacterial SSU rRNA
Rfam family: Bacterial small subunit ribosomal RNA
Source: RNAcentral
GCAUAACGCGAAGAACCUUACCCAGGUUUGACAUGCUUUCGACCGGCGUUGAAAGACGCCUUUCCUUCGGGACGGAAGCACAGAUGCUGCAUGGCUGUCGUCAGCUCGUGCCGUGAGGUGUUCGGUUAAGUCCGGCAACGAGCGCAACCCGUACUGCCAGUUACCAUCAAGUAAUGUUGGGGACUCUGGCGGGACUGCCCGUGUCAAGCGGGAGGAAGGCGCGGAUGACGUCAAGUCCGUAUGGCUCUUACACCUGGGGCCGCAAACGUGCUACAAUGGCGGGUACAAUGGGCUGCUGCAUCGCGAGAUGUGGCGAACCUCCAAAACCCGCCCCAGUUCGGAUUGCAGCCUGCAACUCGGCUGCAUGAAGUCGGAAUCGCUAGUAAAGGGACAUCAGCUACGGUCCCUUGAAUACGUUCCCGGGUCUUGUACACACCG